CCUACGGGUGGCAGCAGUGGGGAAUAUUGCGCAAUGGGCGAAAGCCUGACGCAGCGACGCCGCGUGAGGGAUGAAGGUCUUCGGAUCGUAAAACUCUGUUAGCAGGGAAGAACGGUCACUGUGCUAAUCAGCAGUGAAUUGACGGUACCUGCAAAGGAAGCACCGGCUAACUCCGUGCCAGCAGCCGCGGUAAUACGGAGGGUGCGAGCGUUAAUCGGAAUUACUGGGCGUAAAGGGCUCGUAGGCGGUAUGUCAAGUCAAGGGUGAAAUCCCCGCGCUCAACGUGGGAACUGCCUUUGAAACUGGCAAGCUGGAGUGUGUGAGAGGAAAGUGGAAUGUCAGGUGUAGGGGUGAAAUCCGUAGAGAUCUGGAGGAACAUCAGUGGCGAAGGCGACUAACUGGCACAUAACUGACGCUGAGGAGCGAAAGCGUGGGUAGCAAACAGGAUUAGAUACCCCAGUAGUC
This 465-nucleotide ribosomal RNA is filed under the name uncultured bacterium. RNAcentral's name for it is "partial 16S ribosomal RNA". It matches the Rfam family "Bacterial small subunit ribosomal RNA", at positions 338 to 795 of the family's 1533-position model. The record is from RNAcentral.